Molecule: long non-coding RNA, 854 nt
Filed under: Stylophora pistillata
Lineage: Eukaryota; Metazoa; Cnidaria; Anthozoa; Scleractinia; Pocilloporidae
Description: uncharacterized LOC111320432, transcript variant X2
Source: RNAcentral
CAACGAAACAAUGUUGCCCGCCAAGUUGAGGGUUUUUGUAUCUCGUAUUUCGCCGUAACUAUCAGCUGCUGGUACACCUCAUGACACAUACACACCCAUGUAGCAUCAUUCCAUAAUAUGGUGGAUAAUAAUAUUACACCACCUUUCGCCGUUCGCGAAAAUGAAUUAAGCGAGAGGAAUUAAAGAAGAGACCGGUACAAUUUUUCCCAGUUUGUGCCAAAGAAGAUUAGACGUAGGGGAUCAAAGAAGACAUCUGAUUGAAGUACUACGGUCACCACCUCGACUGGUCAAGAUGAUAACUUUCGAAAAUCCUUCUUAGCAGGCGUUGCAAACUAGACCAAUUUUAGAUGCUUUGCUGGAUGUUUCUGAUGAUGAAAUCAUAGCAGAUGGUGAAUUACAUUCUGCUUCAUCCACUGAUCCAUGCUCUCUGACAGACCUUGUGCCUGUUACCUCACAGUUUGCAUACAUGUUAGAGCUGUUGAAUGGCAAUGUUUUUACCAUCAUUGGCAGCAAGAUUUCUUUGUUCACUUUUUCCAAUUUUGAUGCAGUUACAAAGAGAUUGCUUGAAGCCAAUUAUGUGAUUGCUGAAAGAGAACCUAGGGAUAACAUUUGGAUCUAUCAUUGUAAAUGUGUUGAAGGCACAAGGCAAAUUGAUUAUUUGUGGUCACUGUCAUCAACAGUCACGGGAGAUAGAGGAACAUCAUGACUUAUUGCCUUUGAAUGGGAAUAAUUUUACCAUAGUUGGCCUCCAAGGUGCACUUACCACUACUGAGGGCCAUGUGUCAGAAAACUCUUUACUGGGUUAAUCAUGUAUCUACCCUCUUGAAAUAAAGAACAUUGUAUUGUAUUGUAUU